GGGGGGGGGGGGGGGGGGGCGGGGGGGGGGGGGGGCGGGCGGGGGGGGGGGGGGCUGGCGCGUCUGACGGGAGCGGCGGGCGGGUGAGUAACACGUGGAUAACCUACCUAUAAGACUGGGAUAACUUCGGGAAACCGGAGCUAAUACCGGAUAAUAUAUUGAACCGCAUGGGUCAAUAGUGAAAGACGGUUUUGCUGUCACUUAUAGAUGGAUCCGCGCCGCAUUAGCUAGUUGGUAAGGUAACGGCUUACCAAGGCAACGAUGCGUAGCCGACCUGAGAGGGUGAUCGGCCACACUGGAACUGAGACACGGUCCAGACUCCUACGGGAGGCAGCAGUAGGGAAUCUUCCGCAAUGGGCGAAAGCCUGACGGAGCAACGCCGCGUGAGUGAUGAAGGUCUUCGGAUCGUAAAACUCUGUUAUUAGGGAAGAACAAAUGUGUAAGUAACUAUGCACGUCUUGACGGUACCUAAUCAGAAAGCCACGGCUAACUACGUG
RNAcentral lists this ribosomal RNA (497 nucleotides) under uncultured bacterium. RNAcentral describes it as "partial 16S ribosomal RNA". It matches the Rfam family "Bacterial small subunit ribosomal RNA", at positions 27 to 507 of the family's 1533-position model. The record is from RNAcentral.